UUAUGUAUUGGCCUUUUUGUU
This 21-nucleotide non-coding RNA is filed under the name Caenorhabditis elegans. Lineage: Eukaryota; Metazoa; Nematoda; Chromadorea; Rhabditida; Rhabditidae. The record is from RNAcentral.